RNAcentral lists this small nuclear RNA (102 nucleotides) under Ipomoea nil (Japanese morning glory). Lineage: Eukaryota; Viridiplantae; Streptophyta; Magnoliopsida; Solanales; Convolvulaceae. The record is from RNAcentral.
GUCCCUUCGGGAACAUCCGAUAAAAUUGGAACUAAACAGAGAAGAUUAGCAUAGCCCCUGUGCAAGAAUGAUACGCACAAAAAAAAAAAAAAAAAAAAAAAA